UACGGGGGGUGCAAGCGUUGCUCGGAAUCACUGGGCGUAAAGCGUACGCAGGCGGCCUAUUAAGUCGGAUGUGAAAGCCCUGGGCUCAACCCGGGAAUUGCAUUCGAAACUGGUAGGCUUGAGUGUGAGAGAGGGAAGUGGAAUUCCAGGUGUAGAGGUGAAAUUCGUUGAUAUCUGGAGGAACACCGGCGGCGAAGGCGGCUUCCUGGCUCACAACUGACGCUCAUGUACGAAAGCGUGGGUAGCAAACAGG
Molecule: ribosomal RNA, 253 nt
Filed under: uncultured bacterium
Lineage: Bacteria
Description: partial 16S ribosomal RNA
Rfam family: Bacterial small subunit ribosomal RNA
Source: RNAcentral